UAGGGAAUCUUCUGCAAUGGACGAAAGUCUGACGGAGCAACGCCGCGUGAGUGAUGAAGGUUUUCGGAUCGUAAAACUCUGUUGUUAGGGAAGAAUAAGUACGAGAGUAACUGCUCGUACCUUGACGGUACCUAACCAGAAAGCCACGGCUAACCACGUGCCAGCAGCCGCGGUAAUACGUAGGUGGCAAGCGUUGUCCGGAAUUAUUGGGCGUAAAGCGCGCGCAGGCGGUCCUUUAAGUCUGAUGUGAAAGCCCACGGCUCAACCGUGGAGGGUCAUUGGAAACUGGGGGACUUGAGUGCAGGAGAGAAGAGUGGAAUUCCACGUGUAGCGGUGAAAUGCGUAGAGAUGUGGAGGAACACCAGUGGCGAAGGCGACUCUUUGGCCUGUAACUGACGCUGAGGCGCGAAAGCGUGGGGAGCAAACAGGAUUAGAUACCCUGGUAGUCCACGCCGUAAACGAUGAGUGCUAAGUGUUAGAGGGUUUCCGCCCUUUAGUGCUGCAGUAAACGCAUUAAGCACUCCGCCUGGGGAGUACGGCCGCAAGGCUG
RNAcentral lists this ribosomal RNA (550 nucleotides) under uncultured bacterium. RNAcentral describes it as "bacterial SSU rRNA". It matches the Rfam family "Bacterial small subunit ribosomal RNA", at positions 355 to 896 of the family's 1533-position model. The record is from RNAcentral.